This 255-nucleotide ribosomal RNA is filed under the name uncultured bacterium. RNAcentral's name for it is "partial 16S ribosomal RNA". It matches the Rfam family "Bacterial small subunit ribosomal RNA", at positions 524 to 777 of the family's 1533-position model. The record is from RNAcentral.
GACAGAGGAUGCAAGCGUUAUCCGGAAUGAUUGGGCGUAAAGCGUCUGUAGGUGGCUUUUUAAGUCUGCCGUCAAAUCCCAGGGCUUAACCCUGGACAGGCGGUGGAAACUACCAAGCUGGAGUACGGUAGGGGCAGAGGGAAUUUCCGGUGGAGCGGUGAAAUGCGUAGAUAUCGUUUGGAACGCCAAUGGUGAAAACAGGUUGCUGGGGGGUGUGCUGACGCUGAGACACGAAAGCCAGGGGAGCAAACGGGG